GGAGGGUGCAAGCGUUAUCCGGAUUCACUGGGGUUUAAAGGGGUGCGUAGGCGGGUAUUUAAGUCAGUGGUGAAAUCCUAGAGCUUAACUCUAGAACUGCCAUUGAUACUAUUUAUCUUGAAUAUUGUGGAGGUAAGCGGAAUAUGUCAUGUAGCGGUGAAAUGCUUAGAUAUGACAUAGAACACCUAUUGCGAAGGCAGCUUACUACGCAUAUAUUGACGCUGAGGCACGAAAGCGUGGGAUCAAACAGGAUUAGAUACCCUGGUAGUCCACGCCCUAAACGAUGGAUACUCGACAUACGCGAUACACUGUGUGUGUCUGAGCGAAAGCAUUAAGUAUCCCACCUGGGAAGUACGACCGCAAGGUUG
RNAcentral lists this ribosomal RNA (368 nucleotides) under uncultured organism. RNAcentral's name for it is "partial 16S ribosomal RNA". It matches the Rfam family "Bacterial small subunit ribosomal RNA", at positions 527 to 896 of the family's 1533-position model. The record is from RNAcentral.